This is a long non-coding RNA of Mustela erminea (ermine), 1730 nucleotides long. RefSeq lists it as uncharacterized. The record is from RefSeq and is a predicted model, not a curated record. Lineage: Eukaryota; Metazoa; Chordata; Mammalia; Carnivora; Mustelidae. The transcript has 3 exons.
UAUUUACAAAAUGAAUCAAAAUAUUUUUUUAAAUUGAGGACUCAAUAAAAUAACAAACAGCUGGAAAGAAGCAGACUACUGUAAGAGUGAAUUGAAAAGAAAACCCAAUGUAUGGAAGAAUCAAAGCCAACAAUUAUACUGAGGUUCACUGACCUCAUGAAAAUACAUGGAAACAUGAGAACGAAGCUAUAUUGCAAAAAUGUCCAAAGUAACCCUAAGAGCUGGCUCAUGGCACUGUUACAUAGUUCUGCUUAAGUCGCGGCCAACCAAGAUUUCACGACAAAAACGGAAGGUUUUUGUUCUAGUUCAAGAAAAAAAUAUCAAACCUACCUCUGCUCAGCUUGGCUUCUAGUUCAGAGGUUCCUCUGUUAAUCAAAAGAGCUGAAAUCCACCUUUAAUGCUGUUCAGUGGUUAAAGACCAAGCUUAAAAUGUCCCUGCUCUUGAGGAUUUAAAUUUAGACCCAUAAAGAGGUACUUGUGUAAAAACCAUCAAGAACAUUCAAUUUGUUCUAUUUGGAGAAAGAUUUUACUGGAAAUAUAAAUUUCACUUAAAAAAUGUUUUAUGGAGUACAGAGGUGGAGAAACCAUCUAAAGAACACAACUGUUAUUUCUGUGAACUAAGGGUGUCUGUGCUCAAGUCAGAACCUGCUGGUUCUUUUCCAUCUGAAGUCUUCAUUCUCUCCUCGUGUUAAGUUAGUCACCUCCACAGCAACUAAUUGAAAUAUCCCAAAGGACUAUAACCUUGUGUGAGGAGUCACGGGGAGGAGCACGUCACAUUCUAACACUGCAAAGUUUCUUAUCCAAGUUUCUCUAAUAAUAGUGUUGGACCUAAAAAUCGAUCAAAUGUUGUAACAGGGGUUGCUAACACAACUUUCUGUAAAUGGCAAGUCUUCCAGUGUCUGUGUUCUACCAACAUUUCUAGGUCACAUCUCCCAAAAAGCAACAAUGUCACACAGGAUUAAGGAGAUGUCAGAUUUGUUUGUUUUUGCCUGGUGAGUUUUCUAUGAACUCUAUCAGUUUUGUUACCAAUAUCCAUCACCAAACAAUUUUGGAAAAUAAAGAAGCCAAUUUCCCUUUAACAUUCGUAGGGUUGGAAAAACCUAGAUGUCUACAGGAGCUGGGCAGCGAUAUAAAAUGGGAAGACAUGUCAAGGUGUUAGGGCUUUACUGGUACCAAUUGGUUGUUGCCAUUCACCAGUGCUGGCCCAGUAGAACUAUGUCAUUUUCCCCUUCUCACAAGAAGCUGAAAAUCUGAACUUUGAAGCAGGACUGUCUAGGUUUAAAACUUUAGCAACCAGUUCAAAAAUAUUUAAAACUCUGCAUGGGUCCAAAACUGUGUAUGGCCCAGGCCCAGUGGGUGGGCUGCCAUUUCUAUGACUUCAGGUGUAAAGCAACACCUGGACAAUAACUAAAGGAAAUAAUGAACAAAGUUAAUGGGGUCAUUCCCUGAGUUUACAGUUUCUGUGGCAUUUAAAGGCUGCUUCAAGUUCACGCUGCCCCAUCUCUGAUACGGACAGGUCAACGUGUUUCCUGGUAUGCGACAGGAAACAGGACAAUCGAAAGCGAGGGGGCACGGUGGAACUUUGAAGGGGUCCAAAUAGUAGAGGUGAACUGCUCUUCUAGUAUCAUUCUAAUAAUGUAACUCAUUAGAGGAAAGUCAAACACAUCCCAUUUACUUGAAAGGGCAGAAGAGACGCGUCCCAAUGGACACGUGGAGGCCAUUACCUAAUU